GUUAGGCAGGAGGACUUCUAGGGACAGAUAGGUCCCAGGAAAGAAGGAAGGAGGGGUCACCAGCUGGAUGCAGAGGAAGCAGGGCAUUCGGGAGGAGAGGUGAAAAGCUGUGAGCCAUACGGAGUGAUAGAAAUGGGUUAAUCUAAGCUAUACGAACUAGUUAGAAACAAGCCUAAGACCGGGCUUUCAUAAUUAAUAGCAAGUCUCUGUGUCAUGAUUUGGGGGCUGGAAGUCGAAAAAAAAAAAAAGCCUGCUACAAACAUGGGUUUGCUAGCAGUGAGUCUUCAGGGACAACGGGAAAGCUGCAAGACUAAAACUAUGGGUAGAAAAAAAAUGAACAUGUUGGCCAAGGUCUAAUAAAAGGGUAAAUCAGUGUCAUCCACAGCACGGUUCUGGAAGCCCCGUCUCUCUUCUGGAGGGUACAGUGGCAGUGCUGGGAGCUGACAUAGUGGAGCAACCACCCAUGCUGGCUGACUUGUGAGCUUGGACAUGUGGGUCCCUGUCUGGUGGCACUGUUUGGGAAGUUCUGGGACCCUUGAGAUGCGACCCGACUACCAGAAGGGAUCGCUGAGAACAAGACUUGAAAGGUUACCUCUGCCUCUGCUUCCCGAUUCUUCAAAAGGAUGGAUUUUCCACUCAUUCGGCAAGGUGCCCGGCCAGGCCAUUCCCUGUGCCUGCUGUAAAGGAGAGACAUAUGCUGUAUGCCUGUGCUGGUAAAGGAUUUCAUUUAGAAUUGGCAAGUGACUUCCUCUCUUAGUCUGGAAGACCUGACAACAUCUCGUUGUUUUGACUGCAUUUCUCUGACAACUGUCAAGUGAACAUCUCUUGCAUACUAGACAACCCCCCCCCCCCCGUGGUGAACUGCAUAUGUGUGUGUGUGUGUGUAUAAUGCCUUGCCAGUUUCCCUACUUAGAAUCGGCCCUGCUUCCACUGAUCGUGUAAAAACAUUUCCGUAUUAUCCCUGACAAGAGAGAGAAAGUCACUGCGGUCCAGUGUGCCCAUCAGCUGGGAGCAGUGUGGAAGGGACUGCCACUUUCGCAGCUUUGUCCUGUUGUCUCUUGGCCCUCAGCAUCCUAUGGUGAGAGGAAGACAGUGACAGAACAGGAGAGCCUACACCCAGAGGAGGAAAGCAAGAGUCUUCCAAAUCUCUCAGCCCACCGCUGCAGAGCCCCAGCCCCUCCACCAGGCCCCACCUGCUGCCCCCCCCUCCCCCUGCAGCGGGUGUGGUCUCCUUGGCCAGGCCUGAAGGGAUUAUCCGGGAUCAAUAUUUGAAAUAGUUGAUAUUUUUUUUCAGUCUAA
Mesocricetus auratus (golden hamster) is the source of this 1299-nucleotide long non-coding RNA. RefSeq lists it as uncharacterized. The transcript is spliced from 4 exons. The record is from RefSeq and is a predicted model, not a curated record. Lineage: Eukaryota; Metazoa; Chordata; Mammalia; Rodentia; Cricetidae.